AGGACGAACGCUGGCGGCGUGCUUAACACAUGCAAGUCGAGCGGAAAGGCCCUUCGGGGUACUCGAGCGGCGAACGGGUGAGUAACACGUGAGUAAUCUGCCCCUAGCUCUGGGAUAGCUCCGGGAAAACCGGGAUUAAUACCGGAUACGACCACUUUAGACAUCUGUUGUGGUGGAAAGAAUUUUGGCUAGGGAUGAGCUCGCGGCCUAUCAGCUUGUUGGUGGGGUAACGGCCUACCAAGGCGACGACGGGUAGCCGGCCUGAGAGGGCGACCGGCCACACUGGGACUGAGACACGGCCCAGACUCCUACGGGAGGCAGCAGUGGGGAAUAUUGCGCAAUGGGCGAAAGCCUGACGCAGCGACGCCGCGUGGGGGAUGAAGGCCUUCGGGUUGUAAACCCUUCAGCAGGGACGAAGCGAAAGUGACGGUACCUGCAGAAGAAGCGCCGGCUAACUACGCGCCAGCAGCCGC
Molecule: ribosomal RNA, 473 nt
Filed under: uncultured bacterium
Lineage: Bacteria
Description: SSU rRNA
Rfam family: Bacterial small subunit ribosomal RNA
Source: RNAcentral